Molecule: long non-coding RNA, 1400 nt
Filed under: Anser brachyrhynchus (Pink-footed goose)
Lineage: Eukaryota; Metazoa; Chordata; Aves; Anseriformes; Anatidae
Description: lncRNA (ENSABRG00000008464.1)
Source: RNAcentral
CGAUCCUGCCUCGGUGGAGAGCGGGGAGGGGGAGAAACAAACACAGCACCACGACACCCCCCCCCCCCCCCCCCCGCCCCCCCUCCUCCUGCCCUUUUGGGGAGAAAAACUGGGAAAACGGUUAAAAAUCUCCCCCUCCCUCCCUAGGGCCGAAAGGUCCGAGCCCCGCCUUUACCAAAAAGCCACGUUUUCCACUCAAAAUCCCACUGAAGGGACCCGGCCGAGCGCUGCUGCCGGAAGGGCCUGGCGCCGGCCGCUCAUUUUGGGGCACUUUGGGCCUUUUUUUAUGCUUUUGGUUUUUUUGCUUCCGAAUUUGUGAAUCCGGAGGGGAAAACCAAGCAAAAUUGGGGCUAAAUCGGUAAAAAAAUAAUAAAAACCAACACACCCUCCCUGGGCGAAAAAAACCACCACCGCCACCUGGAUCCUCGCGGCGCUCCGUGCCCCCGUUUUGGGUGAAAACCACCCGAAAUACCUAUUUUCUGCCUUUCCUACACGUUUUUGGGAGGUUUUGCUGCCGGGCUCUGCCUUUUUCGGGUCGGGCGUCCUCGCGCUGCCUCGUUUUUGGGGCAUUUUCCUGCGGAUCUCACUGAGCUGCGCGGAGAAGCCGGGGCCAGCGCCCAGCAGACCCCUUUUUUGGCCUUUUUUCCCCCAAAAAGGCGGCGGGGGUCGGGGCGCCCCCUCCUCAUCUUUACUUAGCGCUGGCCCAGAAGCUGCGGCUCGGGCGCCGUGGCUGCACCUGCGAGACAGAGCCCCCCCCGUCAGCCCCCGUUUGGGGUGAAAGCGCCGCGUUUGGGGAUUUUUGUGUUUUUUGGUGGUUUUUUUUUGUCCGAAUCCGGCUUUUUUUGCAUCCCUCCGCGCCGGUUUUGGGGUGGGGGUGGGUGGGGGGUCCCGGCGCGCCCCGGCUCCUCCCGGCACAACCGCCCGCCGCGCCCCCGACCGCCGCCACCUCCAAAACGGCCGGAAAUCGCCCCAAAAUCCGUGCCCCUCCCUCCGCCGCCGCCCCCCAAAACCUUCUAUUCUACCCCAAACUGUCUCAAUCUGCCCCAAACCACCCAAAAUGAGUCCCCGAGUGCCUCAAACCAUCCUGAUCUGCCCCAAAGCGCCCUGAACGGGUCCCAGUCUGCCCCCAAAACAGCCCCAAACCGCUCUGAAUUAGCCCCAAACCACCCCUCGCAGCCCCAAAUUGCUCUGAAUUAGCCCCAAAACAGCCCCAAAAGGCCACGAAUUAGUCCCAAUCUGCCCCCAAAUAGCACCAAACCACCCCGAUAUGCCCCAAAUUAGUCCCAAUCUGCCCCAAAAUUGCCCCGAACUGCCCCUAUUUGCCCCAAAUCAGUCCCAAUCCACCCCAAAUCACCCCAGUUUGCCGUUAGUCCCAAUCCGCCCCAAAACUGCCCUAAACC